RNAcentral lists this ribosomal RNA (419 nucleotides) under Streptococcus anginosus. RNAcentral's name for it is "bacterial SSU rRNA". It matches the Rfam family "Bacterial small subunit ribosomal RNA", at positions 28 to 426 of the family's 1533-position model. Lineage: Bacteria; Bacillati; Bacillota; Bacilli; Lactobacillales; Streptococcaceae. The record is from RNAcentral.
GACGAACGCUGGCGGCGUGCCUAAUACAUGCAAGUAGGACGCACAGUUUAUACCGUAGCUUGCUACACCAUAGACUGUGAGUUGCGAACGGGUGAGUAACGCGUAGGUAACCUGCCUAUUAGAGGGGGAUAACUAUUGGAAACGAUAGCUAAUACCGCAUAACAGUAUGUAACACAUGUUAGAUGCUUGAAAGAUGCAAUUGCAUCGCUAGUAGAUGGACCUGCGUUGUAUUAGCUAGUAGGUAGGGUAAAGGCCUACCUAGGCAACGAUACAUAGCCGACCUGAGAGGGUGAUCGGCCACACUGGGACUGAGACACGGCCCAGACUCCUACGGGAGGGCAGCAGUAGGGAAUCUUCGGCAAUGGGGGGAACCCCUGACCGAGCAAACGCCGCGUGAGUGAAGAAGGUUUUCGGAUUCG